CUUCCACAAAAUUAUUUCAAAAAUUAAAACUCAAGUUGGACCAAAAACGUUGAAAACCAAACUAAAAUCAAAAUAUCAAAAAGCAAACUAGGACCCGAUUAGCUAUAUGAAAAUAUGAAGAAAUCACAAUGUUCAGCAUAGUUAAAAUCACAAUAUUCAGAUUAGGUAGAACGAUCAGAUUCAGAGGGGGAAGACGGGGAAUAGUAAACAGGGAGGUAAGAAUAGAAGUAAGUAACAAAGAAAAUAGGAAAAGGCUACCUUUAAAAGUUUUGUGAACUGUCUCUGCAAAAAAUGCAAGCGUGCCCAAUGAAGUAGCGACAAGAACAACAACCUACCAAAGUAAAAACAGAAUAGAGAAAAAGAAAAACUUGAAAAUUACAUGAGGAAUUGCCAAGCCCUGUGCUCAGUAACUAAAGAGUCAAGAAAGGCUGUCAGUUACUUCAAAAACAGUGGACAGAGAACAAAAGCUGUCGGAAAAUUAAAAAUCACUGAGAGAAACCAUGCAUGUAAUUCAUAUACAUGUUUAUAUGUGGGGAAAAACCAGGCCCUACAAAAAGAAAAGACGACAUGAAAUCUCCAUCUAUUUAUACAAUUAUGUAUUAUUCAUAAAUAUUUAUACAGGAGUUGAGAAGGAAAGGAAAAGAAAAGAAAAAAGAUUUGGCAUGAGCUCUCAACAGGGAAGGUCUUUUCGCCGAUUGAAAACUACAGAGUCUAAACCUUCAGCAAAUUGCUGUGUUGUGUACCAGUGUGAGCAAUCGCAUGAAUUCACAUACCACAACGUACGACCCUCUAUGGUCCCUCAUUAUUGAGCAAGUAAUGACUUUGAUGAAGCAGCAUUUCUAUUUUUUUUAAUUCUCGGGUGAGCAUCAAAUUAAGAAACAAUUUUGAAAAAGAAGAAGGAUAAAAGCAAGAAAGGGGAUUAAUUAAUCAAUUUGCUGUUUUCUUUGUUGAUAAUACGUGUUGGGACGCAAAAACAAAUCAGAUAUCCAAAUCUAGGGACAUGGAUGACUUCCCUUUCAGGACAAAUUGGGUGGAAGCGGCUUGCCAUUGAAGAGCGUUAAUUGUAGGGAAUGGUGGGAAGGUGAGGAAAUUUGAGGAGCCUGAAAUGCCAUGGUAGCAUGAUGAGGACGAGAUAUUGCUGUGGCUGAGGACAAUUUGUCGCAUUCUUCAGAAUCCGUCAUGGGGCACUCCAUGUUUACCCCAAACAGUCUCAGUCUCUUUGCAGCCGCUUUCCCUUGGACCACCGGCACCGACUCAUACACCAUUGGCUCCACAAUCCCACCCCCUCCUUGUUGCUGCCAUUGCACCAUCCCCAUUCCAACCUGUUGUGGGGCUGCCGACCCCAUGUAAAGUAUUGUCCCCGAAGAAGGAUAAGGCUUUGCGCCCACAUUGCUGUAAUUGCUGCUAUUAUAACCAUAGCCAUAAGAAGAUCCACCACCAACACAAUUGUAAUAAGCAUUCCUAUUGGGAUUCAACAAGUGGAUGUGGUCCCUAGGCAUCAUCGGCACUGCUGGCGGCCGCAUUAGUAGGGGACUCCAAGGGGUGGAUGAGGAGUGGUGGUGCUGCCGGUGACGGUGAUGGUGGUUGUGAGAGGUUAGGUCCUGUGCAUCAGAGCGGCACCUCCAAUCAAUGUAGAAAUGAUCCUUGCCCGUCUCACCCACCCCUCGCUGAAACGACACAACAUCACCAGCAUCGAGCUUCUUCUCCUUUACAAAACGGCUCCAACCCUUGGUCAUCACAUAGCUCUGGCUGCUAUUCCAGUAGGAGUAACGGAAUCUCCAUGCUUUCCCAGUCCUAUCCUCGAAAUUCAAAAGAAGGCCCUUCUCGUUGGUUGAUGAAUCUAGCGGGAAGUACUUUUCUGCGUGCUGCUUUGGGAUCACAAGUCGAUUUAGCUUGCCAACAUCGCUUGGUGUGACUACCUUAUCAAACAUGUGUUCCUUCCCUAUGACAGCAACAGCAGUGGAUUCUUGUGGCCUGCCUUGUUGCUCAUCGUUGACAUCCAUAAGCUCAAGUUUGGAUGCAGCUCUGCUGUCAUUAAACCUGGAGGUGUCUUCUUGUUCGUCAUACUUGCUGCCUAACCAAGAACCCAUUUGAGCGUUGUGUUUGUCAUGGAUUUGGGAUGAAGGGAGCAGGUGGCCCUUGUGCUGAGAGGAAGAAGGUGAUGAAUAGGAGGAAGAUGAGCAGAAGAAAGGGAGCUUAUCUUUACUCAUUUGGCUAUCUUCGCUAAAACUGGAUCCAAAUUCCAUGUUUUGUCGGGUGGAUCUAUAUGGGAUGAGCAUAGAGCGGUAGAAGAAAAAGGAAAAUCAAAGGAGAAAUAAUUCCAUGGAAGGAAAGAAGUGGGAAAGGGCUUAGAUUAAAAAAGAAAAAACAAAAGAAAUAAAGUGUUGAGUUUUCUAGGGUUAGAGAUAAUUAGGCAAAACUGAGAGACCAAGAAGAAGCAGAUAUCUUCUUUGAUCGAGAAGACUCCAACACAGAAGUACGUAAGAGUAGACAAGACAAAGAAGCCCAGCACAGACGUUUCAAAGAGUGCAAGUUCUUCUUGCUGUUGACCUCAAAUAUAUAUAUUAGUAUGUAUGAAGGGUGAAUUAAUAGGUGAUGCAGAAGUGAAUGAAAUGUAUUGAGGGAGAGAAACCGAAGGAAAGAAAAGAAGAGGAGGAAGAAGGAGCCUCCUUCGCUCGAAGCUUCUCAAUAAUUCAGGACUUAGGGAAUGCCCUCUUCUUCUUCCUGAAUAAAUUCUAUCUUUUUUUCUUCUCUCUUUUUAAUUUGUUGAGAAAGAGAGAAAUGGGAGGGAGGCGUUUCAAGUUUAUACGUGGGGACCUCAUGUAUUAUCUGAUUGGGCUCAUGUGAGCUUGUCAUUGUCAUCAUUCUGGGUGGUAUUGCAUUAUUUUCUUCUUCCUCUUUUUAAAAUUUAAUUAUCAAAUUAUUUUUUAGGUAGAAUUUAAUUACUAAUAUUUAUUUUUUUGUUGCACGGUGCUAAAAAGGCCAGCUGUUUUGGAAAGCACGAGCUUCUGAUCUGUGAUAUUUGAU
Molecule: unclassified non-coding RNA, 3027 nt
Filed under: Hevea brasiliensis (rubber tree)
Lineage: Eukaryota; Viridiplantae; Streptophyta; Magnoliopsida; Malpighiales; Euphorbiaceae
Source: RNAcentral